AUUGUUCAAAACGUAUGUGUUCAUAUGAUUUUUGGCAAUUAUAUGAGUAAAUUAAAUCAUAUACAUAUGAAAAUAAAUAUUUAUUAUAUGUAUAUGGAAAAAUGUUGAAAUAUUCCCAUAUUCUGGGAUAUUCAUAAUAUUAAAAAAUAAAUGAAAAACAUUAUCUCACAUUUGAAUGUGAAAAACGAAGAGAAAUAUUUUCUUUUUCAAUCAAAUAAUACUGGAAAUGUCUAGCAUAAAAAAUUGAAAUAUUUUUCAUCUAGAAUUGUCUCUUAUUAAUGAUUCGGAAAUAGAAAAAUCUUGGUUAUGUUAUUAUUCUUGUUGGUUCGUUAAAAAUGGAUAAAUAAAAACUUUGCAUACAAGAAUUAAUAAAAAUGUUAUAACGAAUUUAAUUAAAUGUUUUAUCAUUAUAUAUAAAGAAUUUAUGGCAAGAUAAAGUUAUAUACAACCUCAACUCAUAUGGGAUACCCCUGAAUUUAAGCAUAUUAAUUAGGGGAGGAAAAGAAACUAACAAGGAUUUUCUUAGUAGCGCGAGCGAAAAGAAAACAGUUCAGCACUAAGUCACUUUGUCUAUAUGGCAAAUGUGAGAUGCAGUGUAUGGAGCGUCAAUAUUCAGUAUGAGAAAUUAACGAUUUAAGUCUUCUUAAAUGAGGCCAUUUACCCAUAGAGGGUGCCAGGCCCGUAUAACGUUAAUGAUUACUAGAUGAUGUUUCCAAAGAGUCGUGUUCUUGAUAGUGCAGCACUAAGUGGGGUAAACUCCAUCUAAAACUAAAUAUAACCAUGAGACCGAUAGUAAACAAGUACGUGAGGGAAAGUUGAAAAGAACUCUGAAUAGAGAGUUAAACAGUACGUGAAACUGCUUAGAGGUUAAGCCCGAUGAACCUGAAUAUCCGUUAUGGAAAAUUCAUCAUUAAAAUUGUAAUAUUUAAAUAAUAUUAUGAGAAUAGUGUGCAUUUUUUCCAUAUAAGGACAUUGUAAUCUAUUAGCAUAUACCAAAUUUAUCAUAAAAUAUAACUUAUAGUUUAUUCCAAUUAAAUUGCUUGCAUUUUAACACAGAAUAAAUGUUAUUAAUUUGAUAAAGUGCUGAUAGAUUUAAUAUGAUUACAGUGCGUUAAUUUUUCGGAAUUAUAUAAUGGCAUAAUUAUCAUUGAUUUUUGUGUUUAUUAUAUGCACUUGUAUGAUUAACAAUGCGAAAGAUUCAGGAUACCUUCGGGACCCGUCUUGAAACACGGACCAAGGAGUCUAACAUAUGUGCAAGUUAUUGGAUAUAAACCUAAUAGCGUAAUUAACUUGACUAAUAAUGGGAUUAGUUUUUUAGCCUAUUUAUAGCUAAUUAACACAAUCCCGGGGCGUUCUAUAUAGUUAUGUAUAAUGUAUAUUAUAUUAUUUAUGCCUCUAACUGGAACGUACCUUGAGCAUAUAUGCUGUGACCCGAAAGAUGGUGAACUAUACUUGAUCAGGUUGAAGUCAGGGGAAACCCUGAUGGAAGACGAAACAGUUCUGACGUGCAAAUCGAUUGUCAGAAUUGAGUAUAGGGCGAAAGACCAAUCGAACCAUCUAGUAGCUGGUUCCUUCCGAAGUUUCCCUCAGGAUAGCUGGUGCAUUUUAAUAUUAUAUAAAUAAUCUUAUCUGGUAAAGCGAAUGAUUAGAGGCCUUAGGGUCGAAACGAUCUUAACUAUUCUCAAACUUUAAAUGGGUAAGAACCUUAACUUUCUGAUAUGAAGUUCAAGGUUAUGAUAUAAUGUGCCCAGUGGGCCACUUUUGUAAGCAGAACUGGCGCUGUGGGAUGAACCAAACGUAAUGUUACGGUGCCAAAUUAACAACUCAUGCAGAUACCAUGAAAAGGCGUUGGUUGCUUAAAACAGCAGGACGGUGAUCAUGGAAGUCGAAAUCCGCUAAGGAGUGUGUAACAACUCACCUGCCGAAGCAACUAGCCCUUAAAAUGGAUGGGCUUAAGUUGUAUACCUAUACAUUACCGCUAAAGUAGAUGAUUUAUAUUACUUGUGAUAUAAAUUUUGAAACUUUAGUGAGUAGGAAGGUACAAUGGUAUGCGUAGAAGUGUUUGGCGUAAGCCUGCAUGGAGCUGCCAUUGGUACAGAUCUUGGUGGUAGUAGCAAAUAAUCGAAUGAGACCUUGGAGGACUGAAGUGGAGAAGGGUUUCGUGUGAACAGUGGUUGAUCACGAGUAUAGUCGGUCCUAAGUUCAAGGCGAAAAGCCGAAAAUUUUCAAGUAAAACAAAAAUGCCUAACUAUAUAAACAAAGCGAAUUAUAAUACACUUGAAUAAUUUUGAAGCGAAAGGGAAUACGGUUCCAAUUCCGUAACCUGUUGAGUAUCCGUUUGUUAUUAAAUAUGGGCCUCGUGCUCAUCCUGGCAACAGGAACGACCAUAAAGAAGCCGUCGAGAGAUAUCGGAAGAGUUUUCUUUUCUGUUUUAUAGCCGUACUACCAUGGAAGUCUUUCGCAGAGAGAUAUGGUAGAUGGGCUAGAAGAGCAUGACAUAUACUGUUGUGUCGAUAUUUUCUCCUCGGACCUUGAAAAUUUAUGGUGGGGAACGCAAACUUCUCAACAGGCCGUACCAAUAUCCGCAGCUGGUCUCCAAGGUGAAGAGUCUCUAGUCGAUAGAAUAAUGUAGGUAAGGGAAGUCGGCAAAUUAGAUCCGUAACUUCGGAUAAGGAUUGGCUCUGAAGAUUGAGAUAGUCGGCUUGAUUGGGAAACAAUAACAUGGUUUAUGUGCUCGUUCUGGGUAAAUAGAGUUUCUAGCAUUUAUGUUAGUUACUUGUUCCCGAUAGUUUAGUUACGUAGCCAAUUGUGGAACUUUCUUGCUAAAAUUUUUUAAGAAUACUAUUUGGGUUAAACACAAUUAGUUCUUAUUAAUUAUAACGAUUAUCAAUUAACAAUCAAUUCAGAACUGGCACGGACUUGGGGAAUCGACUGUCUAAUUAAAACAAAAGCAUUGUGAUGGCCUAGCGGGUGUUGAACACAAUGUGAUUUCUGCCCAGUGUCUGAAUGUCAAAGUGAAGAAAUUCAAGUAACGCGGGUAACGCGGGAGUAACUAUGACUCUCUUAAGGUAGCCAAAUGCCUCGUCAUCUAAUUAGUGACGCGCAA
This 3106-nucleotide ribosomal RNA is filed under the name Drosophila melanogaster (fruit fly). RNAcentral's name for it is "eukaryotic LSU rRNA". The stretch from base 446 to 3106 matches the Rfam family "Eukaryotic large subunit ribosomal RNA", at positions 1 to 2316 of the family's 3401-position model. Lineage: Eukaryota; Metazoa; Arthropoda; Insecta; Diptera; Drosophilidae. The record is from RNAcentral.